AAGACACCUGCUAUAAUUUGUCUGUGACCUAACUUGCAGGAAGAACUUUGAAAAAUCAUGAGAACUAAAAUUAACUUUGAUCUUUUAAUUAAUUGUUUUUGUUUUGAUAACAGAGUGGUUGACAAACAGUGAUGUGUGGCGACUUGUUGAUGGAAGGCAGUUUUUAUUCGAACUGUUGUCAUGUUUGUAAGUUGCAUCAAUCCGAUGUUGAUGUGAAGCGAUGCAGCAAAUGUCGAUUGAUUUCAUAUUGUUCUGUGAAACACCAAAAGAAACAUUGGCCAAAGCAUAAAGAUCUGUGCAAAAGUAUUGUGAGAAUAUGCCACAAUAGCGGGGUGUCGGCGUUAUUUGAAACUCCCAAUGCGCACAUGACGGCGAGAGAAUGGUGUACUCUUCGCACGAAAUAUAUGGCUGCUGCUGAAGUCUUUGUAGCGAGAAAACUAUGUAAAUACGAGCGUGAGAUGUUUUUCUUCCCAAGAGUUUGUAGGGUCUGCAAAAUGUUCAAUAACGGCGAUUUGAUUGAUUGUGGCGAUUGUCUGUCAGCAAGCUACUGUUCAGUUGACCAUCAGUUAAAAGAUUCAACGAAUCACUCGGGAGUGUGCAGUGAUUUGAAACUUUGUUUGGAAAUUGACACAAAAGUGAAAAAUGAUUUGGAUUUUAGCACUCUAAUGGUGACAAGUCAAGAAGAGUAUACUCUUUUGCCCAAGAACACAAUAGAUUUUAUACAGUCCCAUAUUACGUUUGAUAAACUGGUUACUCUGCCUCCACAGUUGGUGUUCGCGUAUGUGUCAGAGCUUUUCUCAUGUCCUUUAACGCUGUUGUAUGCCCUCGAGAGAGAGAGAAUUAUGAGAGCCUCCCUUAUUGUGCAUGUUGUUGGUGCUAGUUACCUUGAGUGCUCCUUUUUCUUCUCUUGGGAAAGUGUGUUGCACUGGUUACCACAUGUAAAAUAUUUAUCUGUUGUGUUCAUUGGACCAGAUGUAAUUGAGGGUAAAAGUUUCACGUUGUGCUCGGGAUGUGAAAAAAAGGGAAAGGGGAUCAACAUUAAACUUUACAGUGGCAUGUAUCAUGACUUCGUUAAGUCAGUUACUUAUGAGACUCCAUCUAUAAUCGUGGCAUACAAUAGUGGUAUUGAUGAACAGAGUUCUCACGACACAUGGGGCCAGUCCAUACCAUUUUUUCUGAAAUAUGAUGCAGUACCGUUUGUUUUAACUUCAUAUACGUUAUCGGAGGCAAUAUCAGAUUUAAAUAAAAUAUGCGAAAUUGCAGGUUGUGAAAUUACUAUUUCUGUUUCCUGUGAAAGAAACCAAUUUUCAAGCCAACGACCUUACCGAGAUUGGGAGACAGACCCCUUAUGCACAUUUUGCUAUAACAACUACUUGAGUAUUGUAAAGCGUGGAAGUGAGAGUACAAAAUAAUGUAGAGGGCAACAAAAUAGUUGUCUGACUGAAUGGCUUAAGGACAGUAUUUGUGCUGUAUGGGGUGUUAUUAUAGGUACGUGCAGAGCCUUGUCAAUUGCAGCUAGCUGCACACUUGCAAACUGCCCCUACUACUCCUUGGUGCCUCAGUUUGUCAAUGACAAAGCUAUUUUCUUAAAGUGAUACAUCGUGCUUAGGCUACGUCUAGAGACUGUAAUUAUUGUUAAGAACUUUGCUAUGUUUUUUAUGACUUUAAUAGUUUAUAUCACCAUUGCAGUGUUUGUAUUGUAAUGCAGUGUACCUGAAAUUUCUCUUUGGUAAUAAACAGGUCUUAUAAAAAUAUUGAAAAUUAUACACUGUUUACACAAUCUAGAGGUACUAGCCGUAGAAUUUUUUCAGUUGCGAGUGUACCUAGAUAAAGAGGGUUGUGAUGACAAAAUCAGUGGUUAAAUUUAUGUAGGUGAUUCCUGGCAGCAAACCAAGAAAGGAAAUACGCAUAAUAACAUGUAGAUUGAAGUGCAAUUAGAUAUUAAACAGAGCAUGUGUUUUAAAAAUUGUAUAGUCUGUAUUAAAGUAGCAUUUGUGGCUCUAAGGGCAGACCCCUCAGUUGCCACAUAAUAAUUAAUUUUAGUGUUAUCACUUGUAACUACUUACUGUACAUAUCAGGUAUUGCAUUGACACAAUGUGUUGUCUACACACACCAAAUUUACAGUCGAGUUGGUGGCCGAUGUGGACUGUAAUUGUAAAUGCCUUUAUGGUCACUGCCAUUAGCCAUUGCGCCAAGUGUCAACUUGGAUUGCACAGAUAACAUCCACAUUUUGGAAAUUAUCUGUGAAUACUUGCUUUUCAGAGACCACAAGAAGAAGUAAAUUUAUAAAGAACCAUUCAGGUCAUGCAACCUCUACUAUGAAUGCUUUCGAGGGAAAUUUGCAUGGAGCAGGAGCAGUAGCUUUACAGAAAACACACACACACAGAGGUUGCAUGGGGAGAAGAGCUGUGUUAUUGAAAAUGAUUAAAAUAACCCCAUCACCCAGAUUCAAGAUACAAUUAAAAAUAAAGAAAUGGCUCUAAAACCUACCAGCCAAUGUUGCACAAACCUAAACCAACAGAAAGAUUAUUAUCGUGAAGAAUGCCCAGAGGAGACUACCACUCUGGAAAGUGCAGCUGCGCUCAGAAGGUUGAGUGGUGGUGGUAAUGGGGUAGAGGGCCCAAUGGAAAACACUGCUGACUGUGCAUGGGACUCGACCUGCUGCUCCCUGGCAGGUGAUGGAUGGCGGCUGCCGAUGUGGUGCUAAGUCCCAGGGAGGGAAUUUUAAGUGCUGAUAGCCGCAAGUGUGGACUAUAGGUUCCCGUGAGGAACUUAGUGCUGGUGGCAGUUGCAGCAUGGUCUGAUACUUGUGGGUGCUGCUGGCGAUGUGCAGUCGUCUUACUGUCCGGCAUUGCCUUGGCGUCGUGAUGGUGCUGCUGGACUCUGGCGACAAGAGUGCUUAUGCCUAAAAAUUAAGGCAUAUUUAUAUAGUCCUGAGGCACACAUUUGUUGCACUAAACCCUCACACCUAGUCACAUCGCUCAGAAGGAGAGAUUCUCUGUGGUGUGAUGACAUCAACCUGUCCCUAUGGUCAUUACAGCUGUGCAGUGCAGUUUUCCACUGAGCACAACUAGUCUCAUCUCACAGUCCUUUACUUGUAUGUUAUUCUGACUCUAUUGCAGCUGUUGAUCUGUGACUGCUAAGGCAGUACUUUAUAAAUUUGCUCAGUGUUCUCAGUAUGCUCUCGCAAAACAGCUUCUAAACUGCAUCAUAGAUAUGGAAAGUUUAUAGGAAAAUUAAGAGGCAAACUGGUUUUCAUACCACAAAUUCAACUCAUUCAGCUACCAUUCAGAUUUAAAAGGCAUAAGAUGAGGGCAGUUGGAAUAUUGACAAAUUGUUUUUUCCGCACAGACAACUUGGCGUGCCAUGUUUGCAGGUUCAACAAUCCCAAGUGUCUUUGCACCCAAAAGUAAAACAGUUAGAUGCUGUACAAGUGAGAUUAUUGCACAAUGUUUCCAAUUCAGAAAACAAAAGGAAAAGAAACCAAACAAAGCAAAGACUUUCAUAUCCUCCUGAGACCUGAGUUUCCUGUCCUGCUGUCAAAUAUUCUGCAUUUUCUGUUGUAAUACCUGUGGCACAUUUGAAUGGACUGUAUGCUGUAGCCAUCUGGUGGGAGAAACAGUCACUACGAUUACUUGGCACCAAGUAGCAGCUUUGUUUACAAUGUGUUACAAUGGCAGGUGAGUUCUCCAUCAUUAUUGUGUAUUUUUCGAAAUUUAUUUUAUGGAAAAAAGGACCUAUUGGAGACAGUAUCUAUAAGUGGUGCUUAUACAAUCUUUCUGUGCAAUAAGGUUUGGUAGUACUGUAUAUUUCCAUAAAUUAUCGUUGCAAAACAGUAAUGUCCACUGUAGUGGACGCUGGGACUUGAAGUCACAUUUCUGAGCACUAUUUCGUAGGCAUUAGUGGUGAUUACCUUCGCUAAUUUCCAAUACAUUUCGUGUUGUGACUGCUGCUCAGUGACAUUAUCUGAUACACCACUAUAAUUAUUUUCUCUAAGGAAAGUAGGCACUAUGUUAAAACAAUCAUUUUCUUUAAGGAUACAGAUCAAAGCUAAGUUCAGAAGAAAUUUUAGAACUUCUCUUGAAUGGAGACAUGUCAGAUCUUGAGAUUAGUGAGGAGGAGGAUGGUGAUUUUGAUCUGGCAGAUGAUGGUGUGCAGCAACGCAAUGUUCCUUCCCCAAAUGAACAUAGUAGCAGCAGUACUGAUAAUUCUGAUGAUGCCGAGAGUUCUUCACAGAAUUGCAAGAUGUUUUGGGAGAAAUGCGAAAGGUUUGAGGGACUCCAGGCUACCUUCUCACCCACGGAAGUUGCAGAACAUAAUGAGAAGCAGAUCAUGGACUACUUUCAGCAAUACUUUGACUUGCCCUUUUAUUAGGAUACGUCUGAACUUAACAAUAUGAGAUAUUUACAGCAGACUGGAAGGUCUUUAAAGCUGUCUGCCAAGGAAUUGCAGGUAUUUAUUGGAGCAACAAUACAAAUGCCUUGUUUGAGAUACCCUAGAGUUAGGAUGUACUGGGGUAAAACAACAAGAGUUAUUAGCAUUACUGAAAUCAUGACUCGAGACCGAUACUUCACCAUUAGAAGUAAUUUGAAGGUGACAGACGAUAAUGCUGUAACAGAGGAAACUAGAAGGAAAGAUAAGUUGUGGAAAAUAAGGCCACUUUUAGAAUGUGUAAAGAGAGCAUGCCUCAGUUUACCUCGAACUCCUGAAGUGGCAGUGGAUGAACAAAUGAUCCCAUUUACUGGAGCAUGUGCAAUAAAAAAAUUUGUCAGGGGAAAGCCAAAUCCUGAAGGGCUUAAAAAUUUUAUGUUGGCUGCUCCUUCAGGACUAGUCCUUGACUUUGAGAUUUAUCAUGGUAAAGGAACAUUCCCAGAAGCUAUUGGUCAACAAUUAAAACAAGGAAUAGGAGCCUCGGCAGUCCUCAGGCUUUGCCAGAAUCUUCCAGAAGGAACACAUGUGUUCUUUGAUAGGUAUUUUACCUCUGUUCCUUUACUGGAAUCAUUGGCUGAAAAAAAACUUGCCUGCCACUGGAAGUCAUGAAGUCAAGAAUACCCAGAGCAGUCCAUCUGACAGCAGACAAGAUUCUUGCAAAUCAAGGAUGUGGUUCUGUUGACCAGACAGUGAGAAAAGACAAACACAUUUCUAUUGUAAAAUGGUAUGUCCAAAAGCCAGUCAUAACUGCAUCGACAAAGGUUGGGAAGAACCCUAUGAAUCAAUGUAAAAUGUGGUCGAAAAAAGAUCGGAGAUACAUUCAGGUUCCCUGUCCAGCAGUAAUCAGCUGCUACAAUAAAAAUACGGGUGGCAUAGACCUGAUUGACAGAAUGAUGAGAUUUUACAGGAUCUGCACGAGAACCAGAAAGUGGACUGUAAAAACUAUUUUUCAUUUCAUAGAUCUGGGAAUUGCAAAUAGCUGGAUUCAGUACAGAAGUGACCGAAUUAAGAACGAUGAGCCAAAGAAGAAUAUGCUGCAGUACCUUGAUUUCAAAAUUAGAAUUGCUUAAGAAUGAUGAGCCAAAGAAGAAUAUCCUGCAGUACCUUGAUUUCAAAAUUAGAAUUGCUGAGCAUUUGUUAAGGGGCCAAGAGGAACAACAUUCUGAUGAAGAUGAUGAGGAAUCAACUCCUAAAAGGCGAAGAUUAUUGCCGCCACAGUCACCUUCACCUUCUGUAACCCAUUUGCCAGGAAUGACUGGGUUGACAAAUAGCACGAGGUGUAAGAACAGUGGCUGCACGAAGAAAACCAAAAUAAAGUGCAAAGGUUGUUCAGUUUUCCUCUGUCUAUCAUCACAGAAAAACUGUUUCUCUGAGUAUCAUCAGAAAUAAAACUGUUAAAAUUUGUCAUUUAUUUUACUUUUUAAAUUUAUAUUCAUUAUUUUAAAUUAAUAAUCAGUGAAUGAUUCAAGUAAUAUCUGCCUAAUAAGAUUGU
RNAcentral lists this unclassified non-coding RNA (5923 nucleotides) under Schistocerca americana (American grasshopper). RNAcentral's name for it is "uncharacterized LOC124595274, transcript variant X3". The record is from RNAcentral. Lineage: Eukaryota; Metazoa; Arthropoda; Insecta; Orthoptera; Acrididae.